This 926-nucleotide ribosomal RNA is filed under the name Squamanita umbonata. RNAcentral describes it as "partial large subunit ribosomal RNA". It matches the Rfam family "Eukaryotic large subunit ribosomal RNA", at positions 56 to 958 of the family's 3401-position model. The record is from RNAcentral. Lineage: Eukaryota; Fungi; Basidiomycota; Agaricomycetes; Agaricales; Squamanitaceae.
GAACUAACAAGGAUUCCCCUAGUAACUGCGAGUGAAGCGGGAAAAGCUCAAAUUUAGAAUCUGGCAGCCAUUUUGGUUGUCUGAGUUGUAAUCUAGAGAAGUGCUAUCUGUGCUGGACCAUGUACAAGUCUCCUGGAAAGGAGCAUCACAGAGGGUGACAAUCCCGUCUUUGGCAUGGACUACCAGUGCUUUGUGAUGUGCUCUCAAAGAGUCGAGUUGUUUGGGAAUGCAGCUCUAAAUGGGUGGUAAAUUCCAUCUAAAGCUAAAUAUUGGCAAGAGACCGAUAGCAAACAAGUACCGUGAGGGAAAGAUGAAAAGGACUUUGGAAAGAGAGUUAAACAGUACGUGAAAUUGCUGAAAGGGAAACGCUUAAAGUCAGUCACAUUGGUUGGGAAUCAGCCCUGCUUCUUUGCUGGGUGUACUUUUCCAGUUGAUGGGUCAGCAUCAGUUUUGACCAUUAGAUAAAAGUAUAAGGAAAGUGGCAUUUAUUUAUAAAUGUGUUAUAGCCUUGUAUUGUAUGUGGUGGUUGGGACUGAGGAAUGCAGCACGCCGAAAGGCCAGGGAGUAUAUCUCAUGAUCGUGCUUAGGAUGGCUGACAUAUAAUGGCUUUAAUCGACCCGUCUUGAAACACGGACCAAGGAGUCUAACAUGCCUGCGAGUAUUUGGGUGGAAAAACCCAUAUGCGUAAUGAAAGUGAAAGUUGAGAUCCCUGUAUUUGGGGAGCAUUGACGCCCGGACUUGAUGUUUUCUGACAGUUCCGCGGUAGAGCAUGUAUGUUGGGACCCGAAAGAUGGUGAACUAUGCCUGAAUAGGGUGAAGCCAGAGGAAACUCUGGUGGAGGCUCGUAGCGAUUCUGACGUGCAAAUCGAUCGUCAAAUUUGGGUAUAGGGGCGAAAGACUAAUCGAACCAUCUAGUAGCUGGUUCC